RNAcentral lists this transfer RNA (67 nucleotides) under Pseudocalotes microlepis (Burmese false bloodsucker). RNAcentral's name for it is "tRNA-Met". The record is from RNAcentral. Lineage: Eukaryota; Metazoa; Chordata; Lepidosauria; Squamata; Agamidae.
AUCAGGAUCUGCUACAAAAGCAAUUGGGCCCAUACCCCAAAAACGGUAGAUAGCCUACCUCCUGACA